Long non-coding RNA from Chelonia mydas (Green sea turtle), 2362 nucleotides. RefSeq lists it as uncharacterized. The record is from RefSeq and is a predicted model, not a curated record. The transcript is spliced from 3 exons. Lineage: Eukaryota; Metazoa; Chordata; Testudines; Cheloniidae.
CAAGGUCACCAAGCAAACCAGCAGGAGAGCCAGGAGCAGAACCUAGAGCAUGGGAGUUCCAUUCAUGUGCCCUAUCCACUAGCCACACUGACUCCCCCACACAGACACCAGUAUUUUCAAAUGAAUUCUUAGAAUGUGCAUCAAUUCCAGGCCAAAAGAAACUGAUGCAACAGGGAAACUAGUAUGUUUUGGUAAUUGCAUAAUAGCCAGUUCCCUGUUUCAUGAAUAUGUCAUGGAUUGGAAUAUCUUGAAGAACAGGGCAAUUUUUCUUCUUUAGGCAUUUUUUUUAAAAUGGUGCUAAAAUGCAUGGGAAAUGGAAAGAAAUGUUCAUUUAAUGUCAUAUUGAAACAAGUUAGGAAAUAAACCUUCUGGCUCAUUCAAAAAAAAAAAAAAAGAAAGAAAAAAAGAGGAACUUAGCAGUUUUAAGACAUGGCAUUGCUCAAUCUUAAAACUGCAAACUUUUCAUUUAGGUUAAGACCAAAGCUGUGAUUCUGCCUCCAUCUGUGUAAUACUGCAUUGUGGUUAUAUUAAGCUUGUGCAAAUUGAACAAAACCUUCACUAUAGUCAUCUUUAUUAGGCUGUUUCCAGAAAGAAAUACAAACCAACACUCUCACCAGUUUAUAUAGUGACCUUCACAACAAUGUCACAGGGGUAUGCAGCUAGACAUAUCAGCACCACUCAGGAACAGCUGAAUGUACAGUACUGUUUUUUUAACCUUCUCUUUACAUCCCAAGACAGAUUAGGCACCCUGAAUAACAGUAGGUAGAAAACUCUAGAGCUAAAACCCAGAGUUAAAAAUGCACAUAGACUAUUAUUGCAGCAAGCUGCUGAUUCUGAUCCUAAUGGUUAACUUUAAAUCUGCCUGAAACAACUUAUUUAAGAUCUCUCUCUUUUUCUUAAACUGCACAUUCUCCCUCCCCAAUGGUUCGGUAAAAAGUUAACAUUUCUAUAGUUGCCACCUGUAUUACAACACUGCCAUUUUGGUCUUCACAGAACCACAGAAUUGGAAGGGACCUCAGGAGGUCUUCUAGUCCAAUCCCAUGCUCAAAGCAGAUCAAUCCCCAAUUUUUGCCCCAGAUCCCUAAAUGGCCCCCUCAAGGAUUGAACUCACAAGCCUGGGGUUUAGCAUGCCAAUGCUCAAACCACUGAGCUAUCCCUCCCCUACCAGUCUCUGCAGGUGCAGGGCAAGUUGACUGUGCUUGAGUGUUUCUGUGGAGCCUACGAUUUGGCUCAAGUAAGGUUCAAUACUAGGCCUAGUCUUGCAAAAUCUCAAGGCCCUCCUAUACCAGUUCUCCUACUCUCCAGACUGCAGGAUUAAAAAAGGGGAGAGUAAUGAGUGGAGAAAGAGCCUGAUCCUUCACAGAAAAGGUGCAGAGCAUUGUGUGUGCAUACGAGCACAGGCAAGAAGAACUGAUGAGCAAGAAAGGGGUGCAGGGGAAGCUAAUGCUGCAUUAAUCAGAGAUCAGCUAUAGUUACUCCUGCGUAGAAAUAGAAUUAAAACCAAAAAGGGGAACACAUUGCUAAAUCCCAUGGGAUUUUAAGCAGUCCCAAUCAUGCCAAUGAGCCAGCUAGCGAUGUGCUCCCAUUUUACUCUAACUUCUGUAGUGUGCAGGAGUAAAAUUGCAGCUACUUUUUUGUUAAUGCACCACUGUAUUCCCUUGCACUCCCUGCCCGAGUCGUCAGUUCUUGCUUGUGCUUAUACACACUGAGAGUGAACUAAAAAAAAGGAAAGAAAAGGCCACACCCUCCAGUGUAUCAGCAUUUCACAACAGGUGGCCCAGUGCUGAUAUCAAGUGAGGCAUGACUGGCUUGUCAACACUCCUUCCAAAUCAGUAACCAAGGCACCAAAAUAAAGUCUUACAACCCCGUAUUGAGGCUAGGUCAAUAAGGCAUCAGUGUCACUGGGCCUCCCUGGUUUGUACAGAUUUAAGCUGAUUACUUCUCAAGCUACUUGCAGUGGACAUGGACAACAAUUGAUCACAGUCCUCUUUAUAACAGCCCUUAACAUAUUUGAAGACUGUUAUCAGAUUCCUCACCCCCCUCAGUCUUUGCGCAAGAUUAAAUGUACCCAGGUUUUUUAACCUUUCUUCAAAGGUUUCCCUAAGGAGGAGCUACCAGAGAGAAAGCUGAAGAGAAGAUUAGGAGGCAGGCUGGCCAUCUGAAAAGGAAAAGCAGCUGUAGAAAGACCAGGAAGGAUGCUGAUUCAGAGUGGGGAGCAGGUGGGUAAAAUGAGGGAAGUGGUAAAGAGAGUGCGCAGGGUCUGGAAAAUGUCUUCAUAAACCACGGCCCAGAUACUACACUUAUGAAGGUGAGUAACUUCAGUAGGACUACUCACAUGCAUGACAUUACUCAGUCAGUGUUU